RNAcentral lists this ribosomal RNA (491 nucleotides) under uncultured fungus. RNAcentral's name for it is "SSU rRNA". It matches the Rfam family "Eukaryotic small subunit ribosomal RNA", at positions 1287 to 1800 of the family's 1831-position model. Lineage: Eukaryota; Fungi. The record is from RNAcentral.
GCCGUUCUUAGUUGGUGGAGUGAUUUGUCUGCUUAAUUGCGAUAACGAACGAGACCUUAACCUGCUAAAUAGNCCGUAUUGCUUUGGCAGUACGCUGGCUUCUUAGAGGGACUAUCGGCUCAANCCGAUGGAAGUUUGAGGCAAUAACAGGUCUGUGAUGCCCUUNGAUGUUNUGGGCCGCACGCGCGCUACACUGACAGAGCCAGCGAGUACUCCCUUGGCCGGAAGGCCCGGGUAAUNUUGUUAAACUCUGUCGUGCUGGGGAUAGAGCAUUGCAAUUAUUGCUNUUCAACGAGGAAUCCCUAGUAAGCGCAAGUCAUCAGCUUGCGUUGAUUACGUCCCUGCCCUUUGUACACACCGCCCGUCGCUACUACCGAUUGAAUGGCUCAGUGAGGCUUCCGGACUGGCCCAGAGAGGUCGGCAACGACCACUCAGGGCCGGAAAGCUAUCCAAACUCGGUCAUUUAGAGGAAGUAAAAGUCGUAACAAGGU